RNAcentral lists this ribosomal RNA (393 nucleotides) under uncultured bacterium. RNAcentral's name for it is "partial 16S ribosomal RNA". It matches the Rfam family "Bacterial small subunit ribosomal RNA", at positions 523 to 918 of the family's 1533-position model. The record is from RNAcentral.
AUACGGAGGAUGCAAGCGUUAUCCGGAUUUAUUGGGUUUAAAGGGUGCGUAGGCGGUUUGCUAAGCGGGAGGUGAAAUGCCGGCGCUCAACGUCGGAAGUGCCUCCCGAACUGGUGGACUUGAAUGACUCUGCCGUGGGAGGAAUGUGUAGUGUAGCGGUGAAAUGCUUAGAGAUUACACAGAACACCGAUUGCGAAGGCAUCUCACGAAGGGUUGAUUGACGCUGAGGCACGAAGGCGUGGGGAUCAAACAGGAUUAGAUACCCUGGUAGUCCACGCAGUAAACGAUGAUGGCUAACCGCUGGGCUUAUCAGUUCAGUGGCCAAGCGAAAGCGAUAAGCCAUCCACCUGGGGAGUACGACCGCAAGGUUGAAACUCAAAGGAAUUGGCGGGG